Molecule: ribosomal RNA, 265 nt
Filed under: uncultured bacterium
Lineage: Bacteria
Description: partial 16S ribosomal RNA
Rfam family: Bacterial small subunit ribosomal RNA
Source: RNAcentral
GGAGCGUGUGGUUUAAUUCGAUGCGCGAAGAACCUUACCUGGGUUUGACAUAGGGGUAGUAGCGAGGUGAAAGCCGAGCGACCCUUCGGGGAGCCUCUACAGGUGCUGCAUGGCUGUCGUCAGCUCGUGUCGUGAGACGUUGGGUUAAGUCCCGCAACGAGCGCAACCCUCGUCGUUAGUUACAAGUGUCUAACGAGGCUGCUGGUUUCAAACCGGAGGAAGGUGGGGAUGACGUCAAGUCAGCAUGGCCUUUAUAUCUUGGGCA